GGAGCGAUGCUCGAGUGGCUGAAGAGGCACGCCUGGAAAGCGUGUAUGCGCCAAAAGCGCAUCGCGGGUUCGAAUCCCGCUCCCUCCGCAA
Molecule: transfer RNA, 91 nt
Filed under: Porphyromonadaceae bacterium
Lineage: Bacteria; Pseudomonadati; Bacteroidota; Bacteroidia; Bacteroidales; Porphyromonadaceae
Description: tRNA-Ser
Rfam family: tRNA
About the family: Transfer RNA (tRNA) molecules are approximately 80 nucleotides in length. Their secondary structure includes four short double-helical elements and three loops (D, anti-codon, and T loops).
Source: RNAcentral